GACGAACGCUGGCGGCGUGCUUAACACAUGCAAGUCGAACGGAAAGGCCCUGCUUGCAGGGUACUCGAGUGGCGAACGGGUGAGUAACACGUGGGUGAUCUGCCCUGCACUUCGGGAUAAGCCUGGGAAACUGGGUCUAAUACCGGAUAGGAGCCAUUUUUAGUGUGAUGGUUGGAAAGUUUUUUCGGUGUAGGAUGAGCUCGCGGCCUAUCAGCUUGUUGGUGGGGUAAUGGCCUACCAAGGCGGCGACGGGUAGCCGGCCUGAGAGGGUGGACGGCCAGCUUGGGGACGGGUAGCCGGCCGAGCCCCCACCGGGAGGAAGCAGGGGGGAAUGUGGAAGAAGGGGCGAGGGCCGUAUGCGGCGACGCCGGGGGGGGGAUGGCGCCCUUCGGGUUGAAACUUCUUUGCCCAAGGAAAAAAGCUUUUUGUGACGUUACCUAAAAAAGAAGCCCCGGCUAACUACGCG
Molecule: ribosomal RNA, 466 nt
Filed under: uncultured bacterium
Lineage: Bacteria
Description: partial 16S ribosomal RNA
Rfam family: Bacterial small subunit ribosomal RNA
Source: RNAcentral